This 126-nucleotide ribosomal RNA is filed under the name uncultured bacterium. RNAcentral's name for it is "partial 16S ribosomal RNA". It matches the Rfam family "Bacterial small subunit ribosomal RNA", at positions 355 to 498 of the family's 1533-position model. The record is from RNAcentral.
UGGGGAAUAUUGCACAAUGGAGGGAACUCUGAUGCAGCAACGCCGCGUGGAGGAAGACACAUUUCGGUGCGUAAACUCCUUUUAUAUAAGAAGAUAAUGACGGUAAUAUAUGAAUAAGCGCCUGCU